Molecule: ribosomal RNA, 459 nt
Filed under: uncultured bacterium
Lineage: Bacteria
Description: partial 16S ribosomal RNA
Rfam family: Bacterial small subunit ribosomal RNA
Source: RNAcentral
CCUACGGGUGGCAGCAGUGAGGAAUAUUGGUCAAUGGACGAGAGUCUGAACCAGCCAAGUAGCGUGAAGGAUGACUGCCCUAUGGGUUGUAAACUUCUUUUAUAAAGGAAUAAAACGAGGCACGUGUGCCUUUUUGCAUGUACUUUAUGAAUAAGGAUCGGCUAACUCCGUGCCAGCAGCCGCGGUAAUACGGAGGAUGCGAGCGUUAUCCGGAUUUAUUGGGCUUAAGGGGUGCGCAGGCGGAUUUUUAAGUCAGCGGUCAAAUCGUGGGGCUAAAUCCCACCCAGCCGUUGAAACUGGGGAUAUAGAGUGUGCGAGAGGUAUGCGGAAUGCGUGGUGUAGCGGUGAAAUGCAUAGAUAUCAAGAGGAAUACUCAUUGCGAAGGCGACCUACUGGAACAUUACUGACGCUCAUGCACGAAAGCGUGGGGAGCAAACAGGAUUAGAUACCCUAGUAGUC